RNAcentral lists this unclassified non-coding RNA (228 nucleotides) under Hevea brasiliensis (rubber tree). The record is from RNAcentral. Lineage: Eukaryota; Viridiplantae; Streptophyta; Magnoliopsida; Malpighiales; Euphorbiaceae.
CCCAGCCUCUGCCUCCAGGAGCACCUGCUAAUAUCUUGCAUGGUCCUGCCUUCAUCUUCCCUUUGAGUCAACAGCAAGCGGCAGCUGCUGCUUCCGCUCGACCUGGUACAGUGAAGUCUCCUGCUGUUGCAGGUAGCACAACUUCAUCAAGCGCCUCUAAUUCUGCCUCAAUCAGUGCCACAACACCAGCGGUAGCUGGUGCCACAGCGAUGAGCUUCAACUACCCAA